Molecule: ribosomal RNA, 450 nt
Filed under: uncultured bacterium
Lineage: Bacteria
Description: bacterial SSU rRNA
Rfam family: Bacterial small subunit ribosomal RNA
Source: RNAcentral
AACGAACGCUGGCGGCAUGCCUAACACAUGCAAGUCGAACGAAGCCUUCGGGCUUAGUGGCGCACGGGUGCGUAACGCGUGGGAAUCUGCCCUUGGGUUCGGAAUAACAGUUAGAAAUGACUGCUAAUACCGAAUGAUGUCUUCGGACCAAAGAUUUAUCGCCCAAGGAUGAGCCCGCGUCGGAUUAGCUAGUUGGUGAGGUAAAGGCUCACCAAGGCGACGAUCCGUAGCUGGUCUGAGAGGAUGAUCAGCCACACUGGGACUGAGACACGGCCCAGACUCCUACGGGAGGCAGCAGUGGGGAAUAUUGGACAAUGGGCGAAAGCCUGAUCCAGCAAUGCCGCGUGAGUGAUGAAGGCCUUAGGGUUGUAAAGCUCUUUUACCCGGGAUGAUAAUGACAGUACCGGGAGAAUAAGACCCCGGCUAACUCCGUGCCAGCAGCCGCGGUAA